This is a long non-coding RNA of Camelina sativa (false flax), 368 nucleotides long. RefSeq lists it as uncharacterized. Lineage: Eukaryota; Viridiplantae; Streptophyta; Magnoliopsida; Brassicales; Brassicaceae. The record is from RefSeq and is a predicted model, not a curated record.
AAAGGAGCAAUAAGAGCGUAACCUAGAAAAUCUUUCUAUCUCCUCCGCCGCUCCUUUCUUUGUAAAGAACCUAAACACGAUAGUAAUCCGAGGAACGAAGAAGGGUACAGCUUUAGGGAAACCAGCAUGAGAGCCAAGUGGAAGAAGAAGCGUAUGAGGAGAUUAAAGAGGAAGAGACGAAAGAUGAGACAGCGAUCUAAGUAGAAGAUUUGGGUGUUUGUUUCGUGUCUUUUCUUCUUUUCUAUAACCAACUCUUGUGGGAGUUUUGUUGGUUUUGCUAUUUGAAUGUUUUGUUGGACCAAAUCGAAUCUAUGUUUUCUAAUAGAAUUAUGUUUCUUACAUGGAAUGAUCCACAUGAGUUCCUGAUU